GUAGACGCUAUACUCUAAGAUUAACCCAUGCAUGUUUAUUGAAUAUAAAGAAAAGACGAACAGCUCAGUAACUCUUAUUUGAUUUGAUGUAUUAGGAUCCUAACUAUGUUAAAUUAUAGGUAACAAUAAUACAAUAAGAAUAAGAUCUAUCAGUUAGUUGUUAAGGUAAUGGCUUAACAAGACUAUGACGGAUAACGGUAUUACUUUGUAAUAUUCCGGAGAAGGAGCCUGAGAGAUUGCUACUAAGUCUAAGGAUUGCAGCAGGGGCGAAACUUGACCUAUGAUAUUAUAUUGAGGCAGUUAUGAGUAGUAUUUUAUAAUUAUUGUAGUAUUGUAAGUACAUAUUACAAGAUAAAUCGGAGGGCAAAUCGAGUGCCAGCAGCCGCGGUAAUACUUGUUCCGAUAGUGUGUAUGAUGAUUGAUGCAGUUAAAAAGUCUGUAGUUUAUUUUAUAAUAAGCAUUGUAAGGUAUACUGUAUGGUUAGGAGAGAGAUGAAAUGUGAUAACCCUAACUGGAUGAACAGAAGCGAAAGCUGUAUACUUAAAUGUAUUAUUAGAACAAGGACGUAAGCUAGAGGAUCGAAGAUGAUUAGAUACCAUUGUAGUUCUAGCAGUAAACUAUGUUGAAUCAUAGAUAUAUUUUGAUAUAUAUUUAUGUAGAGAAAUUAAGAUUAUAUUGACUCUGGGGAUAGUAUGAUCGCAAGAUUGAAAAUUAAAGAAAUUGACGGAAGAAUACCACAAGGAAUGGAUUGUGCGGCUUAAUUUGACUCAACGCGGGGUAAUUUACCAGGUAUAACAUGAUAUAAUAUUUUAUCAUGAUAGUGGUGCAUGGCCGUUUUCAAUGGAUGCUGUGAAGUAAUGAUUAAUUUCAACAAGAUGUGAGACCCUCAUUUAGACAGAUGUAGUGAUACAUAUGAAGGAGAGGAUUAAAACAGAUCCGUUAUGCCCUAAGAUAAUCUGGGUUGCACGCGCAAUACAAUAAUAUUUGAUAUUAUAAGGGAUAAUAUAAUGUAAGAUAUAUUUGAACAUGGAACUGCUAGUAAAUUUUAUUUAAUAAGUAGAAUUGAAUGAGUCCCUGUUCUUUGUACACACCGCCCGUCGCUAUCUAAGAUGGUAUUAUCUAUGAACAAAUUUAUAAAGUGAAUAGAUAGUACUAGAUCUGAUAU
Molecule: ribosomal RNA, 1165 nt
Filed under: Nosema sp.
Lineage: Eukaryota; Fungi; Microsporidia; Nosematidae
Description: bacterial SSU rRNA
Rfam family: Microsporidia small subunit ribosomal RNA
Source: RNAcentral